AUCGCAGUGCUCACGGGAAGCACCACUGCCACCUCUCCAUCUCGAUCUCUCUGCUACCACCGGCCUCUACUUCACCAUGGCCGGCUCUGGAUCGAGCUCAUCCGCACCCAAGGAAGGUAGGUUACCAGAAAGAUCUAGCCUACACGAUCCAAGUGGGUCUAUCAAUGGUAUCAGAUGCCACUGGCUAGAUGAUUUCAGUAUAAAGAAACAAAAACAGAAAAAGAAAAAGAGAUCCCCUCCCCCCAAGAACCCUAGACAGGGCAAAGUAAACCACCGGAUAUUGGUCUAGGGCCUCACCGGCAAAGAGCGCCGCCGCACGACCGCGCCUGUUCCUCUCGAUCCCCACACGCAUCGGCAAGCCGAGGUGCGGGGACGAAGAACCACCGGAGCUAGCAAUUGCUCGCGGAAAAGAAAGGAAAAAGACACAAAAAAAAGAAGGGGGUUAGCACCGCGGCCAAAUCCCUUUUUUUUGUCUAUAGGUAAGCUAUAUGUUAUUCAAGGCAUCAAUAGAAAACCCCAUUUUUGUAGGUUCUACUUUCGUCUUUUUCUAUCUUCCCACUCAUCUCCACUAUACCCCUCGUCUUCUAAUUCCUUCCAUUCGACCAAAGAAUUCUCUAUAAUAAUUCGCAAAUCUCGGCGGCAGCGCGCUCACCGCUAGGGAGGACGCGCGACCGACGAGGAGGAUAGCCACGGCGCGAUCUGGGCGCGCUCUUCCUCUCGCUAAAAAGAAAAAGGGGUAGCCUCUCUGUCUUCCUCUCUCUCAUGGAAUGGAAGGGGACAAGGGAAGGUGGCUCUCGCGCGGUGCGGUGGCUGCACGCCGUCGCCGACGGAGCCCCAACCCGGCUACAGGGGAGCAGAGGAGGCCUCGCCGCGUCGCUCUCUCUCCCUCUCUCUCUCUAUCACACGAAGAAGAGGGUGAAGAGGGAAGAAAGGACGGGAAGGAGAGGACCCGCUCGGCACGGUGGCAUCCGCCGCCGUCGCCGGCGGCCGGGGCGAAGCCCGUCUCUCCGUCGUCGGCGGAGUGCGCGAGAGAGGCGCGGGGGCUGGGGAGAAAGUGGCGCUAGGUUUUCGGUCGCUGGGGAUCGACUCCUGGUUUUGUUCAAGCGAAAACCGCUCUGGACCGUACGAUGAAGAUCGACGACCAGGAAGCAAACCCUAGUCCCAGCCGGGCCGUUGGGCCGAAAGUGGCGCUGGGCCGAGGCCAGCAGCAGCGGGCGCAGCCGCACGAGCUGGGCCGAGGCCGGCUGCGCUGCUGUUUUUGCUUUUUUUCUUUUCGUUUUAAUAGUUUCUGUCCAGUUUUUGGGGCAGUUUUCUAAUAGAUUUUCUAUGCAAUUUUUUCAAACAAAAAUUUUUGUAUAGAAAAUAGAAAAGUAAACAGAAAAGUUCUGAAAAUGAAAAUAGAUAAUUUUUAGUAAAAGAAAUGUUCAUGAUUUUUUUAUAAAGAAAAUAAUAAAGUUCAUGAAUUUUGUAAGGAAAAGUUUCUGUAAAGAAUUAAAAGUUCAUGAAUAUUUUUCCGCUGCGUAAAUAAUUAAUGCUCUUUUACACAGAAAAUAAAAGUUUAUCUAUAGUAUUAAGUUUUUUAAGAGCAUGUUAAAGUGAUUAUUAAAAUGAAUAUGAUUAUGUUAUUUUUUAUGACCAACGUUGUUUAAUAACAUGAUCAUGUUUUAUUAUUGAAAUUUAAAGGUGCAUUUAUUUCUAGUAUUUUGCCCAACGGUAAUAUAGAUUUAAUUUCAUAGACAAUUAUAUGUUUAAUUUGACCAAUGUUAGAUUAAUGCAUAUGAUUGUUAUAUUGAUGUCACUUAAAUUGUGAUUUCAGGAGGCUUUCACUUGAUGAGUUGCCUAAAAGAAGUUCCGACACUUAGAGGUGACAACCACACUGAGUGGAGGAAGAAAGUUGAACUGGCAUUU
This 1908-nucleotide long non-coding RNA is filed under the name Triticum aestivum (bread wheat). Its description in RNAcentral is "long non-coding RNA (TAES_LNC021352)". Lineage: Eukaryota; Viridiplantae; Streptophyta; Magnoliopsida; Poales; Poaceae. The record is from RNAcentral.